CGUCGCGUUCCAUAUACGCGCAAGAGAUCGUACAACUGAGGAACCUUUCAUGCCACUGUUUCUAUUUCCCGGUACUGGACGAAGACAUGGAGAAGUGCAUGGCUGUUGCCACCCCUUGGACGUGAGUGAGGGUCACUUCCAGUAAGUAGGGCACUGGAUAAGAACAUAGAUGACUGUCUGGCCAUUGCCGCACCUACUACAAGUAGGAGGGUCCCCGCCAGUCAAGAGGUAGGAGUGAAUACUUUUCUAUUUCCCGGUGCUGGACGAAGACAUGGAGAAGUGCAUGGCUGUUGCCACCCCUUGGACGUGAGUGAGGGUCACUUCCAGUAAGUAGCAGCCGUGGCCGGGAUUCGAUCCUGUGACCUCGUGCUUAGGAGCCCAACACCAUAGCCGCUAAGCAACCAUGGCGGGUGCAGAAUUCAUGAAGAAAAGUAUCCCAAUUUUAUUCAGCGUUUGUACGAAGAUAUUGACAGUUGAGGUAUGAACUACAAACUAUCAGUGGGUACUACCUUGGCGUUCACGGCAGCUAUUCUGCUCACUGCUGUAAGUGCCCACAAUCGGGAUAAACCGCUGACAUUUGAGAACGGGGAAUGCAACUAUAAUGGACAUACAUUCCGCAAUGGGAGAACGUUAUGGACAAGUGACUGCGUGCACUAUUACUGUAAUGCAAAUGCAGGAUAUAUGAUUAUUUACGGGUGUCCGGCAACAUACGAUUACGAAGGAGAACCUUCCCCGAAUCCUGGAGAUUGGCCUGACUGCUGCGAUGAGAAUGAAUAAUGGAGUGUUCAGCCUGCUACCAUUUGCAAGAUUUUUGGCAACGCGAUGACUAAUUAGUUCGCAAUAAAAGACCAACUUGACUGCGCAAAUAACCCUGCUAGCACAAAAGAGAUAUAAUCAUUCUUAUUCAUGGAUACUUCGACUUGACCGUCCAAAAUCGAUAUUGACAAAGAGAACAUCCAGAACAAUUCAA
Molecule: non-coding RNA, 970 nt
Organism: Dermacentor albipictus
Lineage: Eukaryota; Metazoa; Arthropoda; Arachnida; Ixodida; Ixodidae
Source: RefSeq, a predicted model, not a curated record